This 620-nucleotide ribosomal RNA is filed under the name uncultured bacterium. RNAcentral's name for it is "bacterial SSU rRNA". It matches the Rfam family "Bacterial small subunit ribosomal RNA", at positions 338 to 947 of the family's 1533-position model. The record is from RNAcentral.
CCUACGGGAGGCAGCAGUGGGGAAUUUUGGACAAUGGGGGCAACCCUGAUCCAGCCAUUCCGCGUGAGUGAAGAAGGCCUUCGGGUUGUAAAGCUCUUUCGCAAGGGAAGAAAACUUAUGAUCGAAUAAAUCAUGAGGUUGACGGUACCUUGAUAAGAAGCACCGGCUAACUACGUGCCAGCAGCCGCGGUAAUACGUAGGGUGCGAGCGUUAAUCGGAAUUACUGGGCGUAAAGCGUGCGCAGGCGGUUUUGUAAGUCGGAUGUGAAAUCCCCGGGCUCAACCUGGGAACUGCGUUCGAAACUGCAAGGCUAGAGUGUGUCAGAGGGGGGUAGAAUUCCACGUGUAGCAGUGAAAUGCGUAGAGAUGUGGAGGAAUACCAAUGGCGAAGGCAGCCCCCUGGGAUAACACUGACGCUCAUGCACGAAAGCGUGGGGAGCAAACAGGAUUAGAUACCCUGGUAGUCCACGCCCUAAACGAUGUCAACUAGUUGUUGGUAGAGUAAAAUCUAUGAGUAACGUAGCUAACGCGUGAAGUUGACCGCCUGGGGAGUACGGUCGCAAAGNUUAAAACUCAAAGAGAGUGCGNGNGAGAGCGACGACGACGACGACGAGGAGGAGG